UUCCGGUUGAUCCUGCCGGAGGCUACCGCUAUUGGAGUUCGAUUAAGCCAUGCGAGUCGCGAGAAAUUAGAUUCUCGGCGUACCGCUCAGUAACACGUGGGUAACCUGCCCUAUGCUGGAUAAUAACCUCGGGAAACUGAGAAUAAUGAUCCAUAGUUCACUACGCCUGGAACGGUGAGUGGAUGAAAGCCCCGGCGGCAUAGGAUGGGCCUGCGGCGUAUCAGGUUGUAGGGGGUGUAACGUACCCUCUAGCCCUCUACGCGUACGGGUGUUGGGAGACAUAGCCCGGAGAUGGAUUCUGAGACACGAAUCCAGACCCUACGGGGUGCAGCAGGCGCGAAAACUUGGCAAUGCGAGAAAUCGUGACCAGGGAACUCCAAGUGCAUCGGGUAAGACCGGUGCUUUUCUUGACUCUAAAUAGGUCUUGGAAUAAGGGGUGGGUAAGGACGGUGCCAGCCGCCGCGGUAAUACCGGCGCCUCAAGUGGUAGUCGCUUUUAUUGGGCCUAAAACGUCCGUAGCCGGUCUGAUACAUUCGUGGGUAAAUCAACCAGCUCAACUGGUUGAAUUCUGCGAGGACGGUCAGACUUGGGACCGGGAGAGGUGUGGGGUACGCUCAGGGUAGGGGUAAAAUCCUGUCAUCCUGAGCGGACCACCUGUUGCGAAGGCGCCGCACUAGAACGGAUCCGACGGUCAGGGACGAAGCCUAGGGGCACGAACCGGAUUAGAUACCCGGGUAGUCCUAGGUGUAAACGCUGUGGACUUGAUGUUGGGGGUGCUCCGAGCACUCUCAGUGUCGAAGCGAAGGUGAUAAGUCCACUGCCUGGGAAGUACGGUCGCAAGGCUGAAACUUAAAGGAAUUGGCGGGGGAGCACCGCAACCUGAGGAUUGUGCGGUUUAAUUGGAUUCAACGCCGGA
Molecule: ribosomal RNA, 916 nt
Filed under: uncultured archaeon
Lineage: Archaea
Description: bacterial SSU rRNA
Rfam family: Archaeal small subunit ribosomal RNA
Source: RNAcentral